Molecule: ribosomal RNA, 492 nt
Filed under: uncultured bacterium
Lineage: Bacteria
Description: partial 16S ribosomal RNA
Rfam family: Bacterial small subunit ribosomal RNA
Source: RNAcentral
GACGAACGCUGGCGGCGUGCUUAACACAUGCAAGUCGAACGGUGAAGGGACCGGUUUUUGCUGGUUCUGGAUGAGUGGCGAACGGGUGAGUAACACGUGAGUAACCUGCCCCCUUCUUCUGGAUAACCGCAUGAAAGUGUGGCUAAUACGGGAUAUUCUGCGCCUGCUGCAUGGUGGGGUUGGGAAAGAUAUUGUUUCGGUGGGGGAUGGGCUCGCGGCCUAUCAGCUUGUUGGUGGGGUGAUGGCCUACCAAGGCGGGGACGGGUAGCCGGCCUGAGAGGGUGGACGGUCACACUGGGACUGAGACACGGCCCAGACUCCUACGGGAGGCAGCAGUGGGGAAUAUUGCACAAUGGGCGCAAGCCUGAUGCAGCGACGCCGCGUGAGGGAUGGAGGCCUUCGGGUUGUAAACCUCUUUCGCCAGUGAAGCAGGCCUGUCCCUUUUGUGGGUGGGUUGACGGUAGCUGGAUAAGAAGCGCCGGCUAACUACGU